GACGAACGCUGGCGGCGUGCCUAAUACAUGCAAGUCGAACGCUGAAGGAGGAGCUUGCUUCUCUGGAUGAGCUGCGAACGGGUGAGUAACGCGUAGGUAACCUGCCUGGUAGCGGGGGAUAACUAUUGGAAACGAUAGCUAAUACCGCAUAAUAGUAGAUGUUGCAUGACAUUUGCUUAAAAGGUGCAAUUGCAUCACUACCAGAUGGACCUGCGUUGUAUUAGCUAGUUGGUGAGGUAACGGCUCACCAAGGCGACGAUACAUAGCCGACCUGAGAGGGUGCACCGCCCCACUGGGAAGGGGACACGGCCCAAGCCCCCGAGGGGAGGCAGAGGGGGGAAUCUUCGGAAAGGGGGGGAAGUCUGGAGGAACCCCGCCGGGGGGGGGAAGAAGGUUGUGGGAGUGAAAAACUCGUUUAAGAGGGAAGAACGGGGGGGAGGGUGAAAACUUCACGCUGUGACGUUACCUACCGAAAAAGGGCCGGCUAACUACGUG
RNAcentral lists this ribosomal RNA (495 nucleotides) under uncultured bacterium. RNAcentral describes it as "partial 16S ribosomal RNA". It matches the Rfam family "Bacterial small subunit ribosomal RNA", at positions 28 to 507 of the family's 1533-position model. The record is from RNAcentral.